CCCAGACUCCUACGGGAGGCAGCAGUGGGGAAUAUUGCACAAUGGGGGAAACCCUGAUGCAGCGACGCCGCGUGAGUGAAGAAGUAUUUCGGUAUGUAAAGCUCUAUCAGCAGGGAAGAUGAUGACGGUACCUGAGUAAGAAGCCCCGGCUAACUACGUGCCAGCAGCCGCGGUAAUACGUAGGGGGCAAGCGUUAUCCGGAUUUACUGGGUGUAAAGGGAGCGUAGACGGCAUGGCAAGUCUGAAGUGAAAGCCCGGGGCUCAACCGCGGGACUGCUUUGGAAACUGUUAAGCUGGAGUGCAGGAGAGGUAAGUGGAAUUCCUAGUGUAGCGGUGAAAUGCGUAGAUAUUAGGAGGAACACCAGUGGCGAAGGCGGCUUACUGGACUGUAACUGACGUUGAGGCUCGAAAGCGUGGGGAGCAAACAGGAUUAGAUACCCGAGUACGA
This 448-nucleotide ribosomal RNA is filed under the name uncultured bacterium. Its description in RNAcentral is "bacterial SSU rRNA". It matches the Rfam family "Bacterial small subunit ribosomal RNA", at positions 330 to 794 of the family's 1533-position model. The record is from RNAcentral.